CCUACGGGUGGCUGCAGUAAGGAAUAUUGGUCAAUGGAGGAAACUCUGAACCAGCCAUCCCGCGUGAAGGAUGAAGGGGCUCUGCCUUGUAAACUUCUUUUGUCUGGGGCGUAAAAGCUCGAUUUAUCGAGAACUGACGGUACCAGAAGAAUAAGCACCGGCUAACUCCGUGCCAGCAGCCGCGGUAAUACGGAGGGUGCAGGCGUUAUCCGGAAUAACGGGGUUUUAGGGGGCUUAGGAAGUCUGUGUUGAAAGGCUGUGGCUUAACCAUGGAAGUGCCAUUGAUACUGCAGAGCUUGAAUGAGGUUGAGGUUGGCGGAAUGUGACAUGUAGCGGUGAAAUUCUUAGAUAUGUCAUGGAACACCGAUUGCGAAGGCAGCUGACUGGACCUAUAUUGACGCUGAGGCACGAAAGCGUGGGGAGCGAACAGGAUUAGAUACCCCAGUAGUC
RNAcentral lists this ribosomal RNA (450 nucleotides) under uncultured bacterium. RNAcentral describes it as "partial 16S ribosomal RNA". It matches the Rfam family "Bacterial small subunit ribosomal RNA", at positions 338 to 795 of the family's 1533-position model. The record is from RNAcentral.